Molecule: ribosomal RNA, 255 nt
Filed under: uncultured bacterium
Lineage: Bacteria
Description: partial 16S ribosomal RNA
Rfam family: Bacterial small subunit ribosomal RNA
Source: RNAcentral
UACGUAGGGUGCAAGCGUUAAUCGGAAUUACUGGGCGUAAAGCGUGCGCAGGCGGUGAUGUAAGACAGAUGUGAAAUCCCCGGGCUUAACCUGGGAACUGCGUUUCUAACUGGCAGGCUUGAGUGUGGCAGAGGGGGGGUGGAAUUCCACGGUGUAGCAGUGAAAUGCGUAGAGAUGUGGAGGAACACCGGUGGCGAAGGCGGCGACCUGGUCCUUUACUGACGCUGAGGCGCGAAAGCGUGGGGAGCAAACAGG